RNAcentral lists this ribosomal RNA (476 nucleotides) under uncultured bacterium. Its description in RNAcentral is "partial 16S ribosomal RNA". It matches the Rfam family "Bacterial small subunit ribosomal RNA", at positions 355 to 817 of the family's 1533-position model. The record is from RNAcentral.
UGGGGAAUUUUGGACAAUGGGCGAAAGCCUGAUCCAGCAAUGCCGCGUGUGUGAAGAAGGCCUUCGGGUUGUAAAGCACUUUUGUCCGGAAAGAAAUCCUUGGCUCUAAUACAGUCGGGGGGAUGACGGUACCGGAAAAAUUAAGCACCGGCUAACUACGUGCCAGCAGCCGCGGUAAUACGUAGGGUGCAAGCGUUAAUCGGAAUUACUGGGCGUAAAGCGUGCGCAGGCGGUUUGCUAAGACCGAUGUGAAAUCCCCGGGCUCAACCUGGGAACUGCAUUGGUGACUGGCAGGCUAGAGUAUGGCAGAGGGGGGUAGAAUUCCACGUGUAGCAGUGAAAUGCGUAGAGAUGUGGAGGAAUACCGAUGGCGAAGGCAGCCCCCCUGGGGCCAAAUACUGACGCUCAUGCACGAAAGCGUGGGGAGCAAACAGGAUUAGAUACCCUGGGUAGUCCACGCCCUAAACGAUGUCAACU